Molecule: ribosomal RNA, 301 nt
Filed under: uncultured bacterium
Lineage: Bacteria
Description: partial 16S ribosomal RNA
Rfam family: Bacterial small subunit ribosomal RNA
Source: RNAcentral
CAGCAGCCGCGGGAAUACGAAGGGGGCUAGCGUUGUUCGGAUUUACUGGGCGUAAAGCGCACGUAGGCGGAUGAUUAAGUCAGGGGUGAAAUCCCGAGGCUCAACCUCGGAACUGCCUUUGAUACUGGUCAUCUUGAGUCCGGGAGAGGUGAGUGGAACUGCGAGUGUAGAGGUGAAAUUCGUAGAUAUUCGCAAGAACACCAGUGGCGAAGGCGGCUCACUGGCCCGGUACUGACGCUGAGGUGCGAAAGCGUGGGGAGCAAACAGGAUUAGAUACCCCUGUAGUCCCUGUCUCUUAUCC